This 1748-nucleotide long non-coding RNA is filed under the name Schizosaccharomyces pombe (fission yeast). Lineage: Eukaryota; Fungi; Ascomycota; Schizosaccharomycetes; Schizosaccharomycetales; Schizosaccharomycetaceae. The record is from RNAcentral.
AUGAGACAAAUCAUCCAUUUUCUUCAUCUCCAAUUCCUUUGUCGUAUUGUUGGGUAGACUGUUUCGACUUGAUGUAGUUCUGUGAGGAAAUUCCUUUGGCGAUAUUACUUCUAAUCCAAUUUGUUCACAGUUUAAUUGAUUAGUUUUAGUUUUAGUAUUUCCAUAAGAAUCGCAUUUAAGACUGCUGGUGUUGUCAACUUUGAUGGAGUUAAUUUUCUUUAACUCCUCAGAUUUUGUAGAAUCGGAGACUGCGUUCAUUAGCACGAAAAUGAGAGAAUGCAUAUACUUACCAUUAGUUCGCAUUUCUGAUUGAUCAAUCGAAGAUCGAGUCUCCGUUCUCUCAGAACCAUUUACACUUCUUUUAUCUUCAUUUGCAACUAUGGAAUUUUGCUUUUGCAAUGACCUAACUUAUUAGCUCGCUUAUGCAUAGUUAAUUUCUUACAAUGAUGUGUUCGAAGGUGAGUCGUUGGACAGUUUUUCUGUACGAUAAUUCUCAUAAUAGGUUUGUUUAGUUAUACUUUUGAGUAUAUCCAAAUGAGAAAUAAACAAUACGGUCUUCAAGUUAAGAAAAUCAGAAUGUGCAGGAUCAUCAAUUACGAAUGUUCCCCAUUGGAAUUUCUUGACGAUUCUUUGAUAUCCUUCUUCAUCUUCCUCUGAUACCCCUCCAGAUACAGCGAAUGGAACACUUUCCCAAAGUCGUUUGUUAUCCUCAAUGACUUCGUCUUCAUCCUCCUCAGGAUCCCAAGGAAAGUCAAAUACCUUUAUGUUACAUUGUUUCAAAUCCUUCAUUAUCACAUCUUUGAAGUUCUUUAAUUCUUCUUCAGUAAAAGCGUUGGAGUUUCCAAUGACAGGAAUUACGUUUACGCGCUUUGAAAACCGUUUCAUGGCUUCCAAAUCAAACUCAGACAGGCAAUGUCCACGGGGUGCAAUAAAAUAAAGUAGGGCAUCAACGCGCUAAAAUAUCGUUAGAAAACUUUUUUUUCAUUCCUCAUUCUUAAACCAAUGUGUUCUCUUGGUUUUCUACUUAACAACAUUAAAUCAAGUAAUGGAAGUAACUUGAUUGAAAUAGUUAAGGACGGAAAAACUUUGUUUGCAGAUUUCGUACCGUAUCAGUAAAUUUAGAAUUUCUUUUGAUUUUAGAUUCUUCUAUCAAGGCUUGAUCGAAUUGGCUUUCCAAAUAAUGAGUAACUACCUCGAAACUAAUGCAUUGAAAUUAGCUUUAAUUUAGAAAAAUACCUUUUGGUAUUACCUAGCUGAAUUAUCAAUUUUAUCUCCGAAACCAUUUACUUCAAUGACCGUAAGGUCAACAUGGAACUCAUCUUCUAAAAUAUCUAAUUACAGUUAGCACACGAAAAUUAAAACCGUAAUAACUCACCAGCAUUAAAUUCCCUUAUUUCCAGUAUUCUAUCAAUAUGAGCUUUUAGCGGAUCUAUCUCUGUUUCAGCUUCCAGUAUUUGUUUACUGCACAAGCUAUUGAUACAAGCUUGGUAACUGGUGUAGCUAGAUCCUGCUACCAUUAUGCGAAGCUUUUUUCCCUUUUUUGAUAAGAAUUUUGGACGAUGUCUUGGGCCUUUAUUCAUCUUGAAGUGUUUGCUGUUGGAAGAACUUGGGUUUGUUUGUUUACUGCUUAAUAAAGGCACCGAUACGUUGGCAGUAUAUCCAUUUCGCAAACAAGGAAAAUCCAGAAGAUUUCUUUAUACAAAACUUUUCAAUAGUACUUUUAAAUAUAGUUUAUAUUUUUUCUUCCA